This 440-nucleotide ribosomal RNA is filed under the name uncultured bacterium. RNAcentral's name for it is "bacterial SSU rRNA". It matches the Rfam family "Bacterial small subunit ribosomal RNA", at positions 338 to 793 of the family's 1533-position model. The record is from RNAcentral.
CCUACGGGGGGCAGCAGCUAAGAAUCUUGCGCAAUGGGCGAAAGCCUGACGCAGCAACGCCGCGUGGAGGACGAAGGCCCUCGGGUCGUAAACUCCUUUUGCGAGGGAAGAAGAUCUGACGGUACCUCGCGAAUAAGCCACGGCUAACUACGUGCCAGCAGCCGCGGUAAUACGUAGGUGGCGAGCGUUGUCCGGAUUUACUGGGCGUAAAGAGCCCGCAGGCGGUCCGUCAAGUUUCAGGUGAAAUCUCCCGGCUCAACCGGGAGGGUGCCUGGAAAACUGGCGGACUUGAGGCAGGGAGAGGGAUGUGGAAUUCCCGGUGUAGUGGUGAAAUGCGUAGAUAUCGGGAGGAACACCAGUGGCGAAGGCGGCAUCCUGGCCCUGUCCUGACGCUCAGGGGCGAAAGCGUGGGGAGCAAACCGGAUUAGAUACCCUGGUAG